GACGAACGCUGGCGGCGUGCCUAAUACAUGCAAGUAGAACGCACAGUUUAUACCGCAGCUUGCUACACCAUAGACUGUGAGUUGCGAACGGGUGAGUAACGCGUAGGUAACCUGCCUGGUAGCGGGGGAUAACUAUUGGAAACGAUAGCUAAUACCGCAUAAUAUUAAUUAUUGCAUGAUAAUUAAUUGAAAGGUGCAAUUGCACCACUACCAGAUGGACCUGCGUUGUAUUAGCUAGUAGGUGAGGUAACGGCUCACCUAGGCGACGAUACAUAGCCGACCUGAGAGGGUGAUCGGCCACACUGGGACUGAGACACGGCCCAGACUCCUACGGGAGGCAGCAGUAGGGAAUCUUCGGCAAUGGACGAAAGUCUGACCGAGCAACGCCGCGUGAGUGAAGAAGGUUUUCGGAUCGUAAAGCUCUGUUGUAAGAGAAGAACGGGUGUGAGAGUGGAAAGUUCACACUGUGACGGUAUCUUACCAGAAAGGGACGGCGAACUACGU
This 504-nucleotide ribosomal RNA is filed under the name uncultured bacterium. Its description in RNAcentral is "partial 16S ribosomal RNA". It matches the Rfam family "Bacterial small subunit ribosomal RNA", at positions 28 to 506 of the family's 1533-position model. The record is from RNAcentral.